UACGAAGGGGGCUAGCGUUGCUCGGAAUCACUGGGCGUAAAGCGCACGUAGGCGGAUUGCUAAGUCAGGGGUGAAAUCCUGGAGCUCAACUCCAGAACUGCCUUUGAUACUGGCGAUCUCGAGUCCGGGAGAGGUGAGUGGAACUGCGAGUGUAGAGGUGAAAUUCGUAGAUAUUCGCAAGAACACCAGUGGCGAAGGCGGCUCACUGGCCCGGUACUGACGCUGAGGAGCGAAAGCAUGGGGAGCGAACAGG
This 253-nucleotide ribosomal RNA is filed under the name uncultured bacterium. RNAcentral's name for it is "partial 16S ribosomal RNA". It matches the Rfam family "Bacterial small subunit ribosomal RNA", at positions 524 to 776 of the family's 1533-position model. The record is from RNAcentral.